RNAcentral lists this ribosomal RNA (253 nucleotides) under uncultured bacterium. RNAcentral's name for it is "partial 16S ribosomal RNA". It matches the Rfam family "Bacterial small subunit ribosomal RNA", at positions 524 to 776 of the family's 1533-position model. The record is from RNAcentral.
UACGUAGGUGGCAAGCGUUAUCCGGAAUUAUUGGGCGUAAAGCGCGCGUAGGCGGUUACUUAAGUCGGAUGUGAAAGCCCUCGGCUUAACUGAGGAAGUGCACCCGAAACUGAGUAGCUAGAGUACGAAAGAGGGUCGCGGAAUUCCCGGUGUAGAGGUGAAAUGCGUAGAGAUGUGGAGGAACACCAGUGGCGAAGGCGACUCUUUGGCCUGUAACUGACACUGAGGCGCGAAAGCGUGGGGAGCAAACAGG